RNAcentral lists this ribosomal RNA (634 nucleotides) under uncultured Anaerofilum sp. Its description in RNAcentral is "bacterial SSU rRNA". It matches the Rfam family "Bacterial small subunit ribosomal RNA", at positions 897 to 1533 of the family's 1533-position model. The record is from RNAcentral. Lineage: Bacteria; Bacillati; Bacillota; Clostridia; Eubacteriales; Oscillospiraceae.
AAACUCAAAUGAAUUGACGGGGGCCCGCACAAGCAGUGGAGUAUGUGGUUUAAUUCGAAGCAACGCGAAAAACCUUACCAGGUCUUGACAUCCAACGACCGCCUAAGAGAUUAGGCUUUCCUUCGGGACGUUGAGACAGGUGGUGCAUGGUUGUCGUCAGCUCGUGUCGUGAGAUGUUGGGUUAAGUCCCGCAACGAGCGCAACCCUUAUUACUAGUUACUACGCAAGAGGACUCUAGUGAGACUGCCGUUGACAAAACGGAGGAAGGUGGGGAUGACGUCAAAUCAUCAUGCCCUUUAUGACCUGGGCUACACACGUACUACAAUGGCUAUUAACAGAGAGAAGCGAGACCGCAAGGUGGAGCAAACCUCAGAAAAAUAGUCUCAGUUCGGAUUGGGGGCUGCAACCCGCCCCCAUGAAGCCGGAAUUGCUAGUAAUCGCGGAUCAGCAUGCCGCGGUGAAUACGUUCCCGGGCCUUGUACACACCGCCCGUCACACCAUGAGAGCCGGGGGGACCCGAAGUCGGUAGUCUAACCGCAAGGAAGACGCCGCCGAAGGUAAAACUGGUGAUUGGGGUGAAGUCGUAACAAGGUAGCCGUAUCGGAAGGUGCGGCUGGAUCAUCACCUCCUUUAU